AUUGAACGCUGGCGGCAGGCCUAACACAUGCAAGUCGAGCGGCAGCGCGGGGCAACCUGGCGGCGAGCGGCGAACGGGUGAGUAAUACAUGGGAAUCUGCCUGGUAGUGGGGGAUAACUCUGGGAAACUAGAGGUAAUACCGCAUACGUCCUACGGGAGAAAGCGGGGGAUCUUCGGACCUCGCGCUAUCAGAGGAGCCCAUGUCCGAUUAGCUAGUUGGUGAGGUAAAGGCUCACCAAGGCGACGAUCGGUAACUGGUCUGAGAGGAUGGUCAGUCACACUGGAACUGAGACACGGUCCAGACUCCUACGGGAGGCAGCAGUGGGGAAUAUUGGACAAUGGGGGCAACCCUGAUCCAGCCAUGCCGCGUGUGUGAAG
This 378-nucleotide ribosomal RNA is filed under the name uncultured bacterium. RNAcentral's name for it is "bacterial SSU rRNA". It matches the Rfam family "Bacterial small subunit ribosomal RNA", at positions 29 to 410 of the family's 1533-position model. The record is from RNAcentral.